Molecule: non-coding RNA, 81 nt
Organism: Paragonimus skrjabini miyazakii
Lineage: Eukaryota; Metazoa; Platyhelminthes; Trematoda; Plagiorchiida; Troglotrematidae
Source: the annotation of a GenBank genome assembly
GGCUUCGUAGCCCAGGUAGUAGAGCGCUUGCCGCAUUGAGGCAUGGUGUUUCUGUCGCUGGUUCGAAUCCAGCCGAAGCCC